AGCGAACGCUGGCGGCAUGCCUAACACAUGCAAGUCGAACGAGACCUUCGGGUCUAGUGGCGCACGGGUGCGUAACGCGUGGGAACCUGCCCUUAGGUUCGGAAUAACUCCCCGAAAGGGGUCCUAAUACCGGAUAAUGUCCUCGGACCAAAGAUUUAUCGCCUUUGUAUGGUCCCGCGUUGGAUUAGCUAGUUGGUAGGGUAAACGUCUACCAAGGCUAGGAUCCAUAGCUGGUCUGAGAGGAUGGUCAGCCACACUGGGACUGCGACACGGCCGAGACUCCUACGGGAGGCGGCAGUGGGGAAUAGUGGAAAAUGGGCGAAGGCAUGAUCCAGCAAUGCCGCGUGAGUGAUGAAGGCCUUAGGGUUGGAAAGCUCUUUUACCCGGGAUGAUAAUGACAGUACCGGAAGAAUAAGCCCCGGCUAACUCCGUG
This 433-nucleotide ribosomal RNA is filed under the name uncultured bacterium. Its description in RNAcentral is "partial 16S ribosomal RNA". It matches the Rfam family "Bacterial small subunit ribosomal RNA", at positions 29 to 507 of the family's 1533-position model. The record is from RNAcentral.